CCACGCUCUGGGCUCAGUGCACCCACAGCUUUUCGGAAGAUCCUCACUUCCCCAAGCAUGCGUCUGCUCCUUCUCCUGGCUCCAAAGCAGGGGAUUGUCCUGACCCUGCCACAGCCGGCCGCUAGGAACACUUGGGGGUUAGGAGCUUCCUUUGUUCCUACGCAGGAGACAGAGCCUGUUGACUAGCCCUGAACCAGCCCCCGAGGCCCGAGGAACGUCUGGAGCUGGUCAUCUGAGGCCAUCCCUUGUGUGAUCACUCGCUACAGCAAGGGCAGUCGGGUUACCCUGCUUGGUUGAGACAUGAAAGCAAUCAGGGCCCACCCCUGGAGCCGGAGGUGCACGGAGCCCCUCCAGCCAACCUAGCUGCCACUUCAGGUGGAAAGGAAGAAUGUGGAUGGAGGGGAACCAAACGCACGUCUGUCUCGUUACAACGUGUUGGUCUUUGGUGAGUUUGCCCUCGGAGGAUUGCUUCCCGCUUGGCCUGCUCUGCUCUGUAUUGUCAGCGUGUGCGUGUGCGCAUGCGCGCGCAUGCCCGCAGUGGAGAGGGGCUGGUCCCCGGAGGAUGUGUUUCCCCGUCUCCCAGGGCCGCUGACUUCUCCUGGCCUCAGCCAAUGGGAAGCGUUAUUGAAGAAGCGGAGAGAAGAGGGCAGGGAGAAGCCAGAGUAUUUCUCCCCAUCUCUGUCGGCCUCGGGCAGCUUCUCUGGAAACAGCCGCCUCGCCUGCCAGGCUCCAGCUCCCCCAGACGGGCCCUUCGUCAUCUCAGCUUCCACCUGGUGGCCCCAUCCCUGGGCCCCGAAACCACCACCUUGUGUCCCUCCAGCCUACGGGUGGGGGCUUCCUGCCGUUCCCAGGUUCCAGGGCGCACGCGUCACCACCCUGUUGGGUCUCAGCAGCUCCACCCCUGUGUAAACCACUUCCCUCUGUUCCACUCCACCGUCUCGCUGGACUAAACAAGCCUUGUAAGCCGUCUCCCUACCCCCUGCCCUGGCCUCUUGCUCCAAUCCAUUCUUCACACAGCAGUGUGAAAUGUUCCUGUGCCAAGAAAGUGCCUGGCUCACUGCAGAUCCUUGACGCUGCUGGGGAGUGAAUAAGUGAGGUCUGAGAGGAGGGCAGCGUCAAGGGAUGAAGACGUUGGGGUCACAGAGUGGCCUUGGCUGAUGUUGGAGUUCGAGGCUGUGUUUAUGUUGAACAGAAGAGCACCAAGGCCCAGCUGGGAGUGCCAAGCCAGCUCUCACCUGCCAGGAGCUGCUUUUCCUUGGUGUUAAUAAGACACAGAGUAGAAGCGUGAGUCCAGGCAGAGGGGCAGUGGUCCACGUGAGAGGUGAAGGUGUCUUGCACUAGGUGAGCGUGGAGCUGAGGGGAAAUAACUGGAUUCAGGAUACAUGUGAGGCCACGGCCCGCGCUCAAACCACAUGGAGCUUUCCAGCUCCUGGGAAGGAUGCCGACCACUUGCUCCUCCAGGCCCUUCCUGGAUGGCUCUUUCUCGCCCCUCUUCUCCGGCUCCACCGCCACCCAAGCCCUGUUCCCUGAUGCAGUCCUAUUUAUCUCACUCAAAUGCUACACUCACCAGGAAGUCUUCCCCAAACCUCCCACCCCGAAUCUGGGGUAGCAGUCCCUCCUUUGUGCUUCCGUAAGACCUCGUUGCAUUAUGAUUGUUUACAUAUCUGUACCCCUCCUAGACUGUAAGCUGCAUCCGGGAAGGAGUGAUGUCUUGUUCACUGUGUGUACCCAGGUCUCAUCCCUAAUGGAUGCUUAACGAAUACAUGUGAAAUAAAUCAAUGCUUUACUGAUAUUUAUGUUCUUUCUGCACUGGUUUCCAGCAAGUCAUUAUCCACCCCGACGACCAAGCCAUAAUGCCAUUUCUAAACGAAGCUCCCUUUUCUUUUGAGCGUACCCACCAAAUGAUAUGGGAUUCCUGGCACUGCUGUGUAUAUUCGGAUUUCCUGAAAAUUACAUCUGUAAACCACUGAGCAGAAGAGACUAGGGGAUGCUGUCAUUAAGUGGCACAUUAUUGACAAUAGUCAAGACUUGGAAACAACCUAAGUGCCCAUCAACAGAUGAAUGGAUAAAGAGAAUGUGUUGUAUGUAUAUAUAUAUAUAUAUAUAUAUAUAUACACACACACACACACACACAAUGGAAUACUACUCAGCCAUAAAAAAGAUGAAAUUGUGUCAUUUGCAACUACAUGGAUGGACCUUGAGGGUAUUGUAUUAAGCGAAAUAAGCCAGACAGAGAAAGACAAACACUGUAUGAUUUCACUCAUAUGUGGAAGAUAAAAAACAACAAGAAACAAACAGAGAACAGAUUGGUGGUUACCAGAGG
Molecule: long non-coding RNA, 2323 nt
Organism: Equus caballus (horse)
Lineage: Eukaryota; Metazoa; Chordata; Mammalia; Perissodactyla; Equidae
Source: Ensembl